AGAGUUUGAUCCUGGCUCAGAACGAACGCUGGCGGCGUGCUUAACACAUGCAAGUCGAACGCGAAAGGGGACUUCGGUCCCCCGGUAGAGUGGCGCACGGGUGAGUAACGCGUAGAUAAUCUACCCCUGUAUUUGGGAUAACAAUUCGAAAGGAUUGCUAAUACCGGAUACACUUUUUCUUGCGCGAGCAGGAGGGAGGAAAGGUGACCUCUUCAUGAAAGUUACUGUAUAGGGAUGAGUCUGCGUACCAUUAGCUAGUAGGUAGGGUAAAGGCCUACCUAGGCGACGAUGGUUAGCGGGUCUGAGAGGAUGAUCCGCCACACUGGAACUGGAACACGGACCAGACUCCUACGGGAGGCAGCAGUGAGGAAUAUUGCGCAAUGGGGGAAACCCUGACGCAGCGACGCCGCGUGGGUGAAGAAGGCCUUCGGGUUGUAAAGCCCUGUCAGGUGGGAAGAAGUGUAUCAUGGCUAAUAUCCAUGGUAUUUGACGGUACCACCAAAGGAAGCACCGGCUAACUCCGUGCCAGCAGCCGCGGUAAUACGGAGGGUGCAAGCGUUGUUCGGAUUUACUGGGCGUAAAGGGCGCGUAGGCGGUUUUAUAAGUCUGAUGUGAAAGCCCUGGGCUCAACCCAGGAAGUGCAUUGGAUACUGGGAGACUUGAAUACGGGAGAGGGUAGUGGAAUUCCUAGUGUAGGAGUGAAAUCCGUAGAUAUUAGGAGGAACACCGGUGGCGAAGGCGGCUACCUGGACCGAUAUUGACGCUGAGACGCGAAAGCGUGGGGAGCAAACAGGAUUAGAUACCCUGGUAGUCC
Molecule: ribosomal RNA, 814 nt
Filed under: uncultured bacterium
Lineage: Bacteria
Description: bacterial SSU rRNA
Rfam family: Bacterial small subunit ribosomal RNA
Source: RNAcentral